RNA transcript from Helianthus annuus (common sunflower), 1800 nucleotides. RefSeq lists it as uncharacterized. The record is from RefSeq and is a predicted model, not a curated record. Lineage: Eukaryota; Viridiplantae; Streptophyta; Magnoliopsida; Asterales; Asteraceae. The transcript has 8 exons.
CACUUCACUUCUCUUGUACUCCUCCUCUUUUUUUCUUUCUCACGCUUCUUUUUCAAACCCUCAUCUUCUUCCUCUCUCUCUUUCUUCCCUAGAAUUUCAUACACUUGAAGAAACACUAUGUAGUUUAGGGUUAGAUCUGACAAACUCAUUGAGUUUGGGGGACGAAAGAGAGUAACGGUGGUGAUGAUUUGGUUACAAACUUCUAUACGGCGGUGACACUGGAUGAUUGGACAAGAUCGGAAUCAACUGCAUACAUCUCCUUCGAUUGGUGGCUAGAGAUACUUUGCAGAGAGAUGAUGUUAAACAUCUAGGGUUUGGGAGUAUAGAUGGAUUCAUCUUUGUGGUGGGACACACUCAUGUUCUUCAAGUUAAAGGUUAUCACAGUAUGUUUGUUCUCCUUUCAUUAAGAAUAGUGGCUUGUGGAUCAUCCUAAAUUUCUCAACAACCCAUUUGGGGACAGUGCUUCCCAUGAUUGUUCAGGAAAUCUAUUAUCGUUUGUCAUCACCAAAUGGUCACCUUGUCGAGAGUGCUACAUUCUAUGAUUCGUUAGUUGGGGUCUUUCGCUAUAAACCCUUUGACGCUAAAGUUGACUAGAGUAUGGUUGCUAAGGCUUCUCCAUGUUAUGUGACAUAUCUUAAGAACUCUGUAGAUAAAAUUGUUAACUUUUUUGAAAGCAAUGCUGCCGUGAAUCAGAAGAUAGCCUUGGAAAUAGCCGUUGCUGUGCAGAUAACGAUCGAUGAGGUUAAGCGCUCUGCACAACAGCAAGUAAACAAGGCCUUGAAGGAUCAUGCCAGGUUCUUCUUGGACUUGGAUAUAGCAGCUCCCAAGAUCACCAUUCCAACUGAAUUUUCACCAGACAGUUUUCAUUCGACAAAACUCUUUCUUGACCUCGGAAACUUGAUAAUUCGUACUCAGACUCGAUUUGUUGUUUAUUAUUCAGUCUUUGAUCCCAAUCACACAUAAUGACCGGCGUUCUGCUUUACUUCCGAAUUCUCCAGUGACGUUUCCUGGCCGACAACCCUGAAUAGUUCUACCUAAUUUGGGUAUACAUGCACAAAAAAUGGCGGAAGGGCAUCAAAAUGGUAAAAAAAUAAAACCUCCACGUUCCUUUAAGAGUACAAGGUUUGUAUUUUAUUAUGAAUUCGAAUUAACUGCUACUGUGUUGGAUCUUGUGUAUUGAUAUAAGCCUGAAAUAUAUGUUUAGAGGGGGAGGAGGAGUAGAAAAAACAUAAAUUUGAAAGCAUUGCAGACCUUGGUUUUAAAUUCUAACAAGGUUGAGGUUUUACACUUUUACAUUGACGAUAGAAGUCAUUGAUAUGAAUUCUGGUUUAUUUAUCUGAUUUUAGUUUGUUGUUUGUUUUUUUUUUUUUUUUUUUUGACAAUUUAAACUCAUAAAUAAACUUUUUUUGAAUUCAAUAUCUGGUAAAUGGACAGGUGGCGAUGACAAUAUAUUGGGAUAUAACAGUAACUGGAAGCGAAGCUACUUACAAGGUUCAUAUAGUAACUGGAAACGAAGCUACUACAAGCACGUUAUCAUUAAACAAGAAGUGAUGUUUUAUUUAUGAUGAGCAUAACAUGUUUAAUCCUUUGGACUUUCAAAUCCAACAGUUUCGAAGUUCUUGGUAGAAAGAUCAAUUUUAUGGCAGGUUCGAUAUAAUUUAGUACUUUUCUUAAUUCUUUGUUUUCCCGUAUAUAUAUUUUUCUAUUCAAAUAUUUUUUAAGAACCUUCUAUAACUUGAGAGCACUAAUUUUGCAUUGUAAUGUAUUCUUUAUUAAAGAAACAGGUCAUUAUGUUGUAAA